CAGCUGAGAGAAGAGGCAAAGUGAUGGAAGGAGGUCCAUGGAUGGGUGUUGGAGUUAACUGAAUAUGCAGGAGAGGAAGGCCUUCGUAACAAGUUAUGGCUGUGCUGUUGCUGACAGGAGAGUCGUGUUUCUGAUGCUGCAAGAAAUAACAG
Long non-coding RNA from Cynoglossus semilaevis (tongue sole), 152 nucleotides. RefSeq lists it as uncharacterized. The transcript has 3 exons. Lineage: Eukaryota; Metazoa; Chordata; Actinopteri; Pleuronectiformes; Cynoglossidae. The record is from RefSeq and is a predicted model, not a curated record.